AUGUUCUUCCCAUAAGCUCAUGGCUUUUGAGAAUACUGUUGGUCCCAAAGGGGAGACAGUAGUUGGUCAAAGGAAUACCACCUCAGCCCAGGAAGGGGACUGUGUACUGAAGGAACAGUAAGGUGUCCUUGAGGGGUUUGAAGGGUUCCUGGUGAGGCUCGAUUGUGUUGUAGGAUGAAGGCUGAAGAGUGGGGUGGGAGGCAGGGACGAGGAAGGAGAUGGGUCAUGAGCUCUAUUAAAAUGUAUUUUUGUAAUUCCGAGUUGAAAAUAGACAUACCGACUUCAUGCUGACUGUUUCGGCUUCGUGACAUAGCCUGGCUCGUGGGGGCCUUCCCAUUCAGCACGUCUCCGUGGCAACAGGCCACUUUCUCAUUCACGCCAUCUCCAGGGUUACCUUGCUUGGCUCAUUCAGGACUGUUGCCAUAGAGACAGGUCCAUUGAUACAAUCUUGACGCUUUGGAACUUUGCUUUCCCGAAUGAUGGAGUAUUGGCCGUGGGGUACGGAUGACAUUGUGAUAGGGUGUGAGGCGAAGAGAGUUCUGGGAGUUGAGGUAUAAAGACUUAAAAUCUGGCAAGAGGAAGAUGAGGUCAUGGUAGGAGAUAUGAAUCCCAUUGCUGCCACGUGAACUAGCUCAGGCUAGCCUGCUGGAGGAUGAAAAGCUGCCAUGUGAACUAGCUCAGGCUAGCCUGCUGGAGGGUGAAAGACCAUAGGGAGUGGAGCACAGUCAUUCCAGCCGAGGUCAUCCUGGACCAGUCUGCAGCCAGCUAACAGCCAAACAGAAGAGCCACCCAGCUGACCCGCAGCUGACCAAAGAUGCAUGAAUGAGCUCAACUGAGACCAGAUAAAGCACCCAACUGGGCCCAGCCUAAACUGCCACCCUUCAGAAUCAUGAGC
RNAcentral lists this long non-coding RNA (895 nucleotides) under Homo sapiens (human). RNAcentral describes it as "HSALNT0396190". The record is from RNAcentral. Lineage: Eukaryota; Metazoa; Chordata; Mammalia; Primates; Hominidae.